AGCAGCCGCGGUAAUUCCAGCUCCAAUAGCGUAUAUUAAAGUUGUUGCAGUUAAAAAGCUCGUAGUUGAAUUUCGGGAUCAAUAUGUUGGUCGUGCCUCGGUACGUACUAGCAUAUUGGUUUCUCCUUUCUGAAGAACCAUGAUGUCAUUUAUUUGGUGUCGUGGGGAAUCAGGACUGUUACUUUGAAAAAAUUAGAGUGUUUAAAGCAGGCUCACGCUUGAAUACAUUAGAAUGGAAUAAUGAAAUAGGACGUUUGAUUCUAUUUUGUUGGUUUCUAGGAUCGAUGUAAUGAUUAAUAGGGAUAGUUGGGGGCAUUAGUAUUCAAUUGUCAGAGGUGAAAUUCUUGGAUUUAUUGAAGACUAACUACUGCGAAAGCAUUUUGCCAAGGAUGUUUUCAUUAAUCAAGAACGAAAGUUAGGGGAUCGAAGACGAUCAGAUACCGUCGUAGUCUUAACCAUAAACUAUGCCGACUAGGGAUCGGAUGAUGUUAAUUUU
RNAcentral lists this unclassified non-coding RNA (496 nucleotides) under uncultured Glomus. Its description in RNAcentral is "SSU rRNA". It matches the Rfam family "Eukaryotic small subunit ribosomal RNA", at positions 569 to 1070 of the family's 1831-position model. The record is from RNAcentral. Lineage: Eukaryota; Fungi; Glomeromycota; Glomeromycetes; Glomerales; Glomeraceae.